CCACCGAAAAGCGUGCGUUUUAGAAAGUCAUUUGGUUCCAGAGAAAUAAGAAUGAAAGUGCGAGACAAUUUUUUACUUAAACUAGAGCUGUUGGUUGUACUCUGGCUCUGCACGGUUGUACUCUGGCUUUAAAUACGCGUCCAACGACACCACAAUUAUUUAAAUUAUUUCAUUUAUUUAUUCUCCUUUACAAAGUUAUCCAAUAAACAAGAUAAAGACAUAAUUUUUGAAAUGAGAACGGAACUAUACACUCAUAGAAAAAAUUCAGAAUUUCUGUGUUAAAUCAAGAACGAACGGUGCCAAAAGUAGGGUAAAUUCGAUUUUUUUUUGAUUCAAGUACGAAGGCAAUAUUCAAGUACGAAUUAUUCAAUCCCGAAGUUCUACAUUUGAGAAUGAACGUCAUCAGUUCAAGUACUCAAAAGUGCUUGAAGAAAGUGCGAAAGUUAUUGUUUUGAGUACGAAAAAUUCUUCAUGCAAUUUCCGAGCGCAAUGAAGAGAUGGAGGCAAGUAUUUUCUUGGGACUCUGUACUUUUUGAUUCCGUUUAAAUAUGGGCUGGACUCCCUCUGGACCCCUCAGCUAGUGGAAAUAGUGGUAUCCUAGUUUAACGCAUAAAAUCGAAGAAGCAUUAGCGGCCACAAAUACAAAUUUUCAAAUUUUUGUAACUUUAGUCAGCCGCUUUCAUUGGCAUACAAUGAGGUCAAUAACUUAUUAGAUUCGUGAAUGUUCCAUCUUCAAGAUUAGUGUAGUGCAAUAUGUAUUUUUUAAGAAUUAAUUGUGGUGUCGAAACUUCAGUUUCUGCAAUUUAUUAAAACUUUGUUGAGCUCUAGCAUCUAUAUUCGGAUACCUAUCCUUAUGAAAUGUAUGGGAAAGUUGAAAAUGAUCCAUUUCUCGGGAAAUAAGCUACCGAUGACCGAAAUCGGUUAAGCAGAACUGGAGAUAAAACAAAAAAAUUGGCAUGAAAGCAACGAUGUUCUUAAGACAUCAAAGAAUAAGUUGAAAUUAUUAUUUUCACUUUAACUUAUCACUUAUUAUUUAAAAACAACUAAUUUUUAGUGCUUGCGGGUCUGAGUCCGUCAGCCUAAUGCGUGGCGGAAAGUUUCCGUAAGUUUUCUCGAAAGCUAACAAAAAAUGAAGAGAACAUUUUAUUCUUUGUAAAUCUUUCGAAAGUGAAAGUUGAACAGGGCCGAUAAACUGCAACUAUUGGACACCCUUUUUUUAAAUCCGGUGUUUGGUUAAAGUAGUUCAA
Molecule: long non-coding RNA, 1247 nt
Organism: Drosophila gunungcola (fruit fly)
Lineage: Eukaryota; Metazoa; Arthropoda; Insecta; Diptera; Drosophilidae
Exons: 3
Source: RefSeq, a predicted model, not a curated record